UACGUAGGCAGCGAGCGUUGUUCGGAGUUACUGGGCGUAAAGCGUGCGUAGGCGGUCUUCCAAGUUUGGUGUGAAAUCUCCCGGCUUAACCGGGAGGGUGCGCCGAAAACUGGGAGGCUGGAGUAUGGGAGAGGUAGGCGGAAUUCCUGGUGUAGCGGUGAAAUGCGUAGAUAUCAGGAGGAACACCUGUGGUGUAGACGGCUUACUGGACCAUGACUGACGCUGAGGCACGAAAGCGUGGGGAGCAAACAGG
Molecule: ribosomal RNA, 253 nt
Filed under: uncultured bacterium
Lineage: Bacteria
Description: partial 16S ribosomal RNA
Rfam family: Bacterial small subunit ribosomal RNA
Source: RNAcentral